AUUGAACGCUGGCGGCAUGCCUUACACAUGCAAGUCGAACGGCAGCGGACCUUCGGGUGCCGGCGAGUGGCGAACGGGUGAGUAAUAUAUCGGAACGUACCUUUCAGUGGGGGAUAACGUAGCGAAAGUUACGCUAAUACCGCAUAUUCUGUGAGCAGGAAAGCAGGGAAUCGCAAGACCUUGCGCUGAUUGAGCGGCCGAUAUCAGAUUAGCUAGUUGGUGAGGUAAAGGCUCACCAAGGCGACGAUCUGUAGCGGGUCUGAGAGGAUGAUCCGCCACACUGGAACUGAGACGCGGUCCAGACUCCUACGGGAGGCAGCAGUGGGGAAUUUUGGACAAUGGGCGCAAGCCUGAUCCAGCCAUGCCGCGUGAGUGAAGAAGGCCUUCGGUUGUAAAGUCGUCUUUCGGUCCGGGAACGGAAAGUACGACACAGGUUAAUACCCUGUGUGGAGUGACGGUACCGGAAGUAAGAAG
This 474-nucleotide ribosomal RNA is filed under the name uncultured bacterium. RNAcentral's name for it is "bacterial SSU rRNA". It matches the Rfam family "Bacterial small subunit ribosomal RNA", at positions 30 to 490 of the family's 1533-position model. The record is from RNAcentral.